UCAGCCAUGAGGGCUGGGAGGCCGGGCAGAGUGUCCAAGUUCUGCAUCCCUUUCCGUGCCGGGGAGUCCGGCCUCCUGGGACGCAGCGUCCCCAGGCCAGGACAUGCUCUUUCUUCUCCUCUACGCCAUUCAAGGAAAACAGCUUUCUGUGGGCUAUUUCUGGUUCUAUGAAUAAUGCAUGCUUAUUGUAAAGAAUUCAAACAGUACAGGCGGAUAUAAAGGAGACAACAAAGGUCACCUUGAAUCUCGCCACACCGGGGUGACCCCCGAGAGCCUUCCGGUGACCAGGCCUCCGUGCCUCUCCCGUGUGCAGAUACGUUCACAUGAAUGGACGUAAUAAAAACAUGAUGGUUUUGUUCUGGACGCUUCCUCCUCCCCAUUUCCACAGCACAUCCCCCAUGAGGUGGCCCCUGAUAACCCCCUGGCUUACCUUCUCCCAUAUGUUUCUCCACAGACACACGUAAGUAUAUGCUACGUACCUACACACGUGCAUUCACACACAUACACGCACCCACAGGGGAGCUUGGGGGGUCAGUGUCUUACAAAAAGAAUCCCUCCUAAUCACAUUUAACUGCUUCUUACUUUUCAGGCGCGCCAACACCUGCUGAAAUCCGUGCUAGCUUCUUCAGGGAACUCGCCUCGUUCUUUUGAAAGGCUGAUGACAUCCCAUGAUGUGCGCCUUCUCCCUGCCCUUGCCGGCUAAGAACAAUGGGCAGGAAAUCUCCUGAUGCUGACAGAUUACCUUCCCAAGAUUCUGUGACACCUGACCCUUCUGCCUCAAUGCACACAGUUCCCACCAUCAACCGAUGCCAGGGCACGCUGUAAACGUUGCCAUCCUGAUGAGUGCGAAGUGAUCUGUCCUUGUGACUUUAGUUUGCAUUUCCCUGCCUACUGGGGAAUCGGGGAGAACUUGAAUAUAUGUUUGACUUUAGAGGUGC
Long non-coding RNA from Neofelis nebulosa (Clouded leopard), 938 nucleotides. RefSeq lists it as uncharacterized. The record is from RefSeq and is a predicted model, not a curated record. Lineage: Eukaryota; Metazoa; Chordata; Mammalia; Carnivora; Felidae. The transcript is spliced from 2 exons.